RNAcentral lists this long non-coding RNA (4612 nucleotides) under Canis lupus familiaris (dog). Its description in RNAcentral is "lncRNA (ENSCAFG00000056870.1)". The record is from RNAcentral. Lineage: Eukaryota; Metazoa; Chordata; Mammalia; Carnivora; Canidae.
AUUUCAGAGGUUUUCUUUAUUUUUUUUAGGGUGUGCAUUUGGGGGUUUGAGGGGGGCAGAGGGAGAGAGAGAAUCUCAAGCAUGAAGAGCAUGAAGAUGGGCAUGUGCCAAUCCUCCUGCUGGGCAUGGAGCCCAACACAGGGCUCCAUCUCAUAACCCUGAAAUCAUGACUUGAGCCAAAAUGAAGAAUCAGACACUUAACUGUCUGAGCCACCCAGGGACCCUUCAAGGCCUUCUAUUCUUAUUUUCUUUCUAGCUCCACUAUCCAUUCUUCUUAUCUGUCUCUCUUAAAUAACACAGUGCUUUAUAGCUUUUAUUAAGUCCUCACCCUGACUACAGAGCUGACACCUAUCUGGCAUGUUCUACACUCCCCCCUCUCCUGUGUCCUGUGCAAACAUCAUUCAUCAAUCCCAGCUUAGGAGCGUUAGAAUCUUCCUAAUACAUCACUCCAGAAUAUCACUGAUUGUAGCAUAGAAAGCAAAACCUAUGUGCCACCUCUGGACUGGAAGAUUUACUUUCCAGAACUUCCAGUUAUUCUUUCCAAAGUCAGGACUUGGUUUCUUACAUAGUGAGUACAUUUAGGUACCCUUUGCCUUUCCUGUAUCCAAAGUGUAACUCCUUCCUUGAGAGAUUAUUAUUAUUUUUUUGAUUAUGGGUCUUGUAUUAGGAUUUUGGGAAAGUUUUAACAUGUUAUCAAUUUGAUCCAUUAGACUGGAGAAGCCAAGAAUCAUUUGUGCAACAUUUUACUACAAAUGGAAUGUCUGAAGAGCUAUGUCUACAGUUUGGAUUUGAUAUAAAUCAAUGUUAAUGUCCUUGGAGAUUAUUUAGGUUUUUGAAAAAACUUACUUUUUUAACAGAGGAUUUUCAAAAUAUUUUAGACUCCUGAAGGCUAGAUUUAGUGGCAUAGACCUCUUGAUUGUGUUUUCUGACAGGUGACGUCUUUCCUGCAAAUAAUGUUUUGAUGUCAUUAUUGUUGGUCUAACAAAGGAUAUAGGAAAGUCUAAUGAAAAAUUGAUUUAUAACCAUAAAAAAGUUAAAAAACUCCUUUCCCCAGAAACAGAAAUAGAAGCUAUUUAUUGCGGCCACUAAUUUUCUGGCAUCUUUCUUCCAUCACAUUACCUUCUAUCUAUGUCUAUAAUGAAACCACAGAGUUUCUUCUCCCAAAACAGUGACCACAUAUAAACAUCCUUGGUAUAUAAACAAUUUCAGGAUGUAUUUGAUCCACUUAACUGCAUCCAUGGGUUAAAAGUUAAGAAUUCCUCCUGUAAUGACAUAGAAAGCAUUCUCACCCUAGUUUUAAUUAGCCUCUGGCUUUAUUCUCACUCCCUUUUAGGAGAUACAGUACACCCACAAAAUAAGAAGACAGGCCAAGUUUCCAUAUAAGCAGGUAUGUGACCUGUAGGAGAGAUUAUAAACAUAGAAAACAACCAGAAAUAAUCUUUGGCAUUAAUGAUGUUCAUGGCACUGAUAGAUGAGAUUUUACUUGAAGCUGUGGGAUUGAACUCAAGCAAAUGUUUCUAUUUCCCUCUAUAUAGUUUUUGGUUAAACCUCAACUGGUAAAAAAGGAUGGGGGAAGGUAUAAACAAUAGAUAAAACUUCAAAAUAUCUUUGGAAGAUAUAUAAAGGAGAUGCCAUUUUAUGAAACAUAGAACAUAGCUCAGUAAAGACAUCAGAGGAAACCACUCAAUAAAUGCUCUAAAAUUGAGAAAUAUGACAAAGUGUGGGCAUAAAGGAGGAAAGAAGGAAAAGAGAAAGGAUUAAUUAAAAAUUCUGCCUUUGGUGUGAAUGAUGAUCCAUCUCUUCUCCAUUGCUUCUCAUUAAUGGAGCUUAGAAAUAAUUUUACCCCUAGGCAAAAUAAACCAGAAGGGUCUUUUCUGAAGAUAAUGAGUGAACUUCCUAAGGGAAGAUGAAGAGCUUAGGUGUUGAGUUGUGUGGGUGUCCUAGUAAAGGACUUUGCUUGUACCUUUCCAGGGCAUUCCGGGGCUGAGAUUAGCUUCUUGCCUGUCCAUCUUUGGGGAAGGUCAGUCAGUGUUACAGCUCUGUCACACCCACAGAAUGUCCAUCCAGGUCGCCAUUUUACUCCUGGGUAGAAACCUUGUGUUAAGACCUGCAUGUAAAAGACUAUCGUACAGUAUGUACAUUUAACUUAGUUCAAUUCAAUUAUAUAUGAUUGAUAAGAAUAUUGAGAAAAAUAGUUUAAGUAUCUGUUCUUCUACUCCAUGAGUGCAUGUUGUAGGCUGAUGGUGAUAUGGAACACAUAUUUGCUCAUUUUAGUUCUUUCAUGCUUUUCAUAAGGUGACCAUCUCACUGUAUUAAAUGCAACUUGACUAUAUGAAUAUGCUCACCAUAAUAAUAUAUUAAAAAUACAUAAGGUAAAUAUUUCAUAUUGUGUUCAAUUUGAUUUCUUCCCCAGAGGAAGAGCUUUGUGAUAUAUCUAUUGUGAAAUACUAGACACUUUUCUACUGAAAUUUCAAGGGUCAUUUUGACUAUAGGUAAUUUUUGCCUCAAAUAUGGGUCAUUGUAAAUUUUAAUCCUUAUGUGAGAUGACUACACUCUGAAACAGCAAAGGAAAUUUCAUCUAUAAUAAAAUAACUCAAUAUCCUCAUUCCUUUUUUAAAAAUUAAUUUUCCUGAGGUAACAGAUUGUAAGUGUAUAGUUUGAAUUUUGACAAACAUAUAUGUUCCUGUAACUACAGACAAAGUCAAGACAUGGAACAUUUCCCUCACCUGAAAGUUCUCUCAAUCCUAAUGUUUUCCUCCUCAUGUUUCUGAGGCAGCAGUGAUCUUUAUCUUUGAAUACUUCCUAUAAAUAGCCAUCCAUGAUAUUGUCCUUUGUUCUUUCAUUCAGCAUGGUGUUUGGGGGAAAUGCCAUGUUUUUGAGUGUAUUAGUAGAUGGUUCACUAUUAUUUCUCACCAGUAUCAUUGAAUGAAUAUAUCCUGUUUUUGUUCUUUUUUUUUUUUUUUGGUGGAUAUCUGGGCCAAUUCCAUGCUGGGAAUAUUAAAGACUUAAGCUCUUAUAAACAUUUGUGAAUAUAACAUUUAAUUUCUUAGAGUAAAUAUCAAGGAGUGGAAUUGAUGAGUCAUGGGAUAGGUGUAUACUUAUUUUUUUUAAGAAACCACCCAAUCGUUCUCCAGUGUAUUUCAUUCUUAUUUUAUAUUCUCACAAGACGUGUGAGAUCCAGUUCUGUCUGCUAACAAUUCUAUUGUUAUCCUUCUUAGUUUUAACUAUUUUAGUCAGUAUGAAAUGAUAUCUUUUUGUUUUAACUUGCAUGUCUGUGUUGACUAAGUGUUAAGCACUUUACCUUUUGUUUAUUGGUCAUUUAUAUUUUUUGGUAAAGACUUUGUUCAAGUCUUUUGCCCGAUUUUUAAUUGCAUUGUCUUUUUAAUUGUUAAACUGUAGGCAUUAUUUAAAUGUUCUGGAUGUAAAUUCUGUGUCUUUUCUAUCUUACAGAAGGUUCUUUCAGUUUGUCACUUGACUUUUCUUUUUCUUUGUGAUACCUUCUGAAGGGCAGUUUUUAAUUUUGAGGAAGUAUCCAUUUAUUUGCAUUUUCAUUUUAUGAAAUUUCAUUUUAUGGUCCAUGAUUUUGUGUCCUAUAUAUGGAAUCUUUGCCUGACUUAAAAUCACAAACAUAUUCUUCUGAGCUUUCUUCUAUAAAUUCUAUGGUUCUAGCUCUUACAUUUAGGACUAUGGAAUGAAUCUUUGCAUUUUGGGUAUAUCCAGUUUAAUUUCCAACAUGGUAGCUUACUCCAACCAGAGUUGGCCUCUUUCUCCUGGUCAAACAAAGGCUGUUCUUCUUCUUCUUCUUCCUUCUUCCUUCUUCUCCUCCCUUCUUCUUCCUUUUUUUGUUUGACAAUUUUAUUUGCCAUACAUUUUUUUUCUUUACCUGCCCAGAACAGCAAGGUUGUCUUUUUUUUUGUUUUUGUUUUUGUUUUGUUGGGUUUUUUUUUGCAUGUUUUUUUAUAGGAGUUCAAUUUGCCAACAUAUAGCAUAAUACCUGGUGCUCAUCCCAUCAAGUGAGACGGGAUGGCCAACACCCAGUCACCCCCACCCCCCACGACCUCCCUUUCCACCACCCCUUGUUUGUUUCCCAGAGUAGGAGUCUCUCAUGUUCUGUCACCCUCUCUGAUUUUUCCCACUCAUUUUAUCUCCUUUCACCUAUAAUCCCUUUCACUAUUUUUUAUAUUCCCUGUAUGAGUGAAACCAUAUAAUGUUUGUCCUUCUUUGAUUAACUUACCUCACUCAGCAUAAUACUCUCCAGUUCCAUCCAUGUCGAAGCAAAUGGUGGAUAUUUGCCAUUUCUAAUGGCUGAGUCAUAUUCUAUUGUAUAUAGAGACCACAUCUAUUUUAUCCUUCUUAAGCAGGCUUGUUGCUCUGCUCACCCUCUUUCUGACCUUUGCACCUACUCUCAAAUAUGAAACCAUUCUCUGGACUUUGAUUCUUUUAGAUUUCUUUGAAUCUACAGCUAUUCAGUGAAGAUCUUUAAAGAAAGGUAUGCAUUGGGUUUAUCUGGCUAGUUUAUAUAAUUAUAGCAGGAGUGACUUAUUUAGGUUCUUCUAUAUCAUAACUAUAAAUAAAACAUUGUUUCCCAUUAUUACACCAAAAAAAAAAAAAA